AUCAGCUGACGAGUCCCAAAUAGGACGAAACGCGCGUCCUGGAU
This is a non-coding RNA of Schistosoma haematobium, 44 nucleotides long. The record is from Rfam. Lineage: Eukaryota; Metazoa; Platyhelminthes; Trematoda; Strigeidida; Schistosomatidae.